This 468-nucleotide ribosomal RNA is filed under the name uncultured bacterium. RNAcentral's name for it is "partial 16S ribosomal RNA". It matches the Rfam family "Bacterial small subunit ribosomal RNA", at positions 28 to 507 of the family's 1533-position model. The record is from RNAcentral.
GACGAACGCUGGCGGCGUGCUUAACACAUGCAAGUCGAACGGAAAGGCCCUGCUUUUGUGGGGUGCUCGAGUGGCGAACGGGUGAGUAACACGUGAGUAACCUGCCCUUGACUUUGGGAUAACUUCAGGAAACUGGGGCUAAUACCGGAUAGGAGCUCCUGCUGCAUGGUGGGGGUUGGAAAGUUUCGGCGGUUGGGGAUGGACUCGCGGCUUAUCAGCUUGUUGGUGGGGUAGUGGCUUACCAAGGCUUUGACGGGUAGCCGGCCUGAGAGGGUGACCGGCCAAAAUGGGACUGGGAUACGGGCCAGACUCCUACGGGAGGCAGCAGUGGGGAAUAUUGCACAAUGGGCGGAAGCCUGAUGCAGCAACGCCGCGUGCGGGAUGACGGCCUUCGGGUUGUAAACCGCUUUCGCCUGUGACGAAGCGUGGGUGACGGUAAUGGGUAAAGAAGCACCGGCUAACUACGUG